Molecule: ribosomal RNA, 336 nt
Filed under: Triticum aestivum (bread wheat)
Lineage: Eukaryota; Viridiplantae; Streptophyta; Magnoliopsida; Poales; Poaceae
Description: partial small subunit ribosomal RNA
Source: RNAcentral
AUGCACCAGGUACGCAAACUUGCCGAGUUCUAUCCAGAAGACUUUUCAAGUGCUGACUUGAUACACCUUGAACUACAACUUGAUAACUAUAUUGGUGACAUGAGAAAAGAUGAGAACUUUCAAGGCCUUGGAAAUCUUGUUGAUCUCUCAGUUAAGCUUGUUCAAACAGGGAGGCAUAUAGUUCAUAAUUUUGUGUACUUGCUUCUAAAAUUGGUAUUGAUUCUACCAGUGGCAACAGCAAAUGUUGAGAGAGCAUUUUCUGCCAUGACUUUAGUCAAAAACAAGUUGAGAAAUAAGAUGUGUGAUAGUCUUUUGGAUGAUUGUCUGGUCACAUAG